This is a transfer RNA of Olsenella sp. oral taxon 809, 91 nucleotides long. It matches the Rfam family "Selenocysteine transfer RNA". The record is from Rfam. Lineage: Bacteria; Bacillati; Actinomycetota; Coriobacteriia; Coriobacteriales; Atopobiaceae.
GGGAGCAGAUGGGCGACUGGUGCGCCCUCUGGUCUUCAAAACCAGUUCGGGCAGGCAACUGCUCGGGUGGGUUCGAUUCCCACCUGCUCCC